RNAcentral lists this ribosomal RNA (484 nucleotides) under uncultured bacterium. RNAcentral describes it as "partial 16S ribosomal RNA". It matches the Rfam family "Bacterial small subunit ribosomal RNA", at positions 30 to 507 of the family's 1533-position model. The record is from RNAcentral.
AUUGAACGCUGGCGGCAGGCCUAACACAUGCAAGUCGAGCGGAUGAAGGGAGCUUGCUCCUGGAUUCAGCGGCGGACGGGUGAGUAAUGCCUAGGAAUCUGCCUGGUAGUGGGGGAUAACGUCCGGAAACGGGCGCUAAUACCGCAUACGUCCUGAGGGAGAAAGUGGGGGAUCUUCGGACCUCACGCUAUCAGAUGAGCCUAGGUCGGAUUAGCUAGUUGGUGGGGUAAAGGCCUACCAAGGCGACGAUCCGGAACUGGUCUGAGAGGAUGAUCAGUCACACGGGAACUGAGACACGGACCAGACUCCUACGGGAGGCAGCAGUGGGGAAUAUUGGACAAUGGGCGAAAGCAUGAUCCAGUCAUGCCGCGUGUGUGAAGAAGGUCUUCGGAGUGUAAAGAACUCUAAGUUGGGAGGAAGGGCAGUAAGUUAAUACCUUGCGGUUUUGACGUUACCAACAGAAUAAGCACCGGCUAACUUCGUG